RNAcentral lists this microRNA precursor (55 nucleotides) under Mus pahari (shrew mouse). RNAcentral's name for it is "miRNA (MGP_PahariEiJ_G0007551.1)". The record is from RNAcentral. Lineage: Eukaryota; Metazoa; Chordata; Mammalia; Rodentia; Muridae.
GGAGACUGACUGUGGGAGUGGAGCAGGACUCCUGACACAACCAUUCUCUGAGCAG